RNAcentral lists this ribosomal RNA (253 nucleotides) under uncultured bacterium. RNAcentral's name for it is "partial 16S ribosomal RNA". It matches the Rfam family "Bacterial small subunit ribosomal RNA", at positions 524 to 776 of the family's 1533-position model. The record is from RNAcentral.
UACGUAGGGGGCAAGCGUUGUCCGGAAUCAUUGGGCGUAAAGAGCGUGUAGGCGGCCCGAUAAGUCCGCCGUGAAAGUCCAGGGCUCAACCCUGGAAUGCCGGUGGAAACUGUCGGGCUAGAGUCCGGAAGAGGAGUGUGGAAUUCCUGGUGUAGCGGUGAAAUGCGCAGAUAUCAGGAGGAACACCAAUGGCGAAGGCAGCACUCUGGGACGUGACUGACGCUGAGACGCGAAAGCGUGGGGAGCAAACAGG